RNAcentral lists this microRNA precursor (88 nucleotides) under Python bivittatus (Burmese python). RNAcentral describes it as "microRNA pbv-mir-5420 precursor". The record is from miRBase by way of RNAcentral. Lineage: Eukaryota; Metazoa; Chordata; Lepidosauria; Squamata; Pythonidae.
ACUGACUGAGCCUUGCCCAGACAUGGGCACUUUUCUUUUUUUCUAAUCUGGAAAGUGCUUCAUUGUUUGGGUGAGGCUCUGGUUCAGG